AUGUUUGUCUGUGGUGUCAAUGAGACGGAAUACAAAUCUGACAUCGACAUUGUCUCCAACGCUAGCUGCACCACUAACUGCCUUGCUCCUCUUGCUAAGGUUAUCAAUGACAGUUUUGGCAUCGUUGAGGGUUUGAUGACAACAGUUCAUGCCAUGACUGCAACCCAGAAGACUGUUGAUUGUCCUUCCAGCAAGGACUGGAGAGGUGGAAGGGCUGCCAGCUUCAACAUCAUUCCGAGCAGCACUGGUGCCGCAAAGGCUAUUUUGUUUGAUUUGAUGGAGGGUUAUGAAGGGAGCCAGUUCAAGAGAUUAUGUGCAAAAUAG
RNAcentral lists this ribosomal RNA (324 nucleotides) under Triticum aestivum (bread wheat). Its description in RNAcentral is "partial small subunit ribosomal RNA". The record is from RNAcentral. Lineage: Eukaryota; Viridiplantae; Streptophyta; Magnoliopsida; Poales; Poaceae.